CAGUGAUACAUAUAAAAAAGUGAAUGAUGAAUGUAAGUUCCAUUGGUCGCAGAUUCAGACUGAUUUCCUCGAAGAGUAUAGCAUAGAGACAAUUUUCCCGAUACAUUUACAGCUUCUGACAUUACCUUUUUGUCUUGUUCACUUCAUUUUUUGGUGUGCCAAGUAUUGUUGCUUCAAAAUAAGAGAUCGAAGAAUAGAUAAAAUCCAAAAUGGAGAUCACCAUGAUGAUAGGUCAAGGGACAAGUUGAAGAAAAAUCCAAUGUUUGUACGAGGUAAAAGCGUAAAUGAGUAUUAUUAAGAUCAUAUAUCUUAUACUGUUAACAUUUGUUGAAAGGAAAAAAAAUACUGGCUUAGUGAAACUGUUCAUACUCGACCUCAUGGACAUAGAACGUACACCAAUUAUACGAAGAACUAUGGCAUAUGCAAUUUUAAUACAAAAAAUUAAAAUGCAAUCACUAAAGAUAACACUAUAUGGAACGUUUUGAGAACUAGAUCAGAUUAAUCAUAACGUUUUGUAAUGCUAUUAUAAAAGAUUAAUGCAUUUGGUUUUUUUUUGUAUUGUAUAGAGAUUUACAUUGUACUUGAAAAAAAGGCAACAGUAGUAUACCGCUGUUCAAUAGUCAUUAUUCGAUUAAAAAAAAUAAGCAUUUACAGUUUUAGUUCAACUGCGUUAUAGUCAAAUGUCUGAAAUUACGCAAAACUACAAAAAUGUAAAGAUUUGCAUCCAUUGAUUCACACGUCUAUAAUUUUUAUUUUAUCUCUGUAGACUGUUUCUCUUUUUAUUAGGUUAUUUUGUAAAUAUCUAAUACAUUAUGAUAAAUACCAGGCGUAAGCCAGUUUGGUAACACAUUGAAAAAGGGUUUAAUUUCUAUAACACAGACAGUUUCCGUAUGUUUAGAUAUAGGAACGACAAACAUUCCAUCGUGGAUGCAUGAUAAGAUCAAACAUAUUAAGUAAAACCAUUCUUUUUGUAACCUUCAAUGAUGAGAAAACGUAUACCGUAGAGUCGGCUUUGCAGGGUUCUGAUAUGAAAAAUAUGAAACAUUCCAAUUGAGAAAACUAACGAAACAAUUUAUAAAAAAAACAAUUUACAAUAAACAAAUAUGAGAGACAAUCACCGAACUACACGCUGACUUAGGACAGGUACAUACAGAUAAUGCGUGUUAAACAUAAAAUUUAGAAUUGAAAUGGGGAGUAUGUCAAAGAAACAACAACACUACCAAAGAGAAGACAACAGCUGAAGGCCACCAAUGGGUCUUCAACGCAGCUACAAAAUCCCGCGUCCGGAAGUGGUCCUCAGCUGACCCCUAAAAAAGUUGUGCACUAGUUUAGUGAAAAUUGGCGUCACACUAAACUCCAAAACAUAUGAAAAUAAAAAUCAUACAACAUUAACAAAGGCCAGAGGCUCCUGAUUUUGGACAGGCGCAAACAUGCAGUAGGGUUAAACAUGUUUUGUGAGAUCUCAAUCCUCUUAGCCAAUGAAGAAUAAUGAAAUACAUAGCAAUCCGCACACUAAAUAUUAGUUUAAAAGAAGUCCGAGACCGAUGUAAGAAUAGGUAACAAAAGAAACUAAGCUACAUGUUUGUAAGUGCCUAAUCUUCGCAAUAAUCGUGUGUAACAAACAAUAUAAGAACAUACUAUAAAAAUCAGUUGAAAAGAGAUUAACUCAUUAUGGUGAAAAUAAUUUCCAUCAAACACUUAGGGGGCUUACUAUAUAAUUAGUGGUACGGAUGAGCCGCUGGAAUAUGUCAUUUUUUCAUGGUCAGUGAUAUAUGAAAAGGGUGAGAAAUUCAGAUUAAUACAUAUCAAUAGGUUGAUAUUAUCACUUGCUUGAUUUAUAUUAUAAGUAUCUGAAACUAAUCACAAAGCAGGGUAUUUAUACAUCCCUAACAACGAAACAGACACAACUUACAGAUCUCAGAUACUCGCAGUUACUUUAAACAGCUUGUUCAAAUUUAUUGUCAAUGCCUGUUUAGCAAAAGCUGACAAAGAUUAUGAAUGCUUGACCUUCUGAUCAACUUGUUUAUUCCAACCACAAAUUCAUGCGCUUUUCUCAAUUCAGUACGAUUAUAAAUCUUUAUUAUAUGGAUAAUUGGUGUCUGUGACAGAUUAACAAAAUUUAUGUUUCAUUUGCUAACAACUAUUAUAGACUCGAUAUUUUUGCUUUAUUCGUUAAUAUGAUAAGUUUUUAUGUAACCAUUUAUUAAAUUUGGUUAGUUAUCUCGAUAAAGUUUGCCGGAAAGUAAAAUACCAUUUAUACUGAACUUCAAGAAAAUUUAAGACGGAAAAGAGCUAAUCAAAUGGCAAAAUCAAAAGCUCAAACAAUUCAAACGAAUUGAUAACAACUGUUAUAUUCCUGACUUGGUACAGGCCUUUUCUUAUGUAGAAAGUGGUGUAUUAAAACUGGUUUUUAUGCUAGCUAAACCUUACAGAUAUACUGGUGACGUUUUACAAAGUCUGAGUAGGAGCUGUAAGCAGCUCUUGAAUACCGAAUAAGAUGGGAAAUGUAUGUCACCUAGUUAUGCAGGUGAAGUUGGUAUAUUGUUACUAAGGUGGAGGGAAUUGAUAAUUUCAAAAUUAUAAUCGUCUCGUUUGUCAUAAACCGUGUAUGAAUCCUGAAAUACCCUUUCAAAAUUUCAUGAAUAUGAGUUAAUUGUUUACACCUUUGUUUAUUAUACAGGUUAACCUUAAACUUAAAUUAAAACAAUGUCAUACAACAAGUAAAAUAUAGACGUUCCAUUUUUUUUACCCUAGUAUUUUUGUACAACACAGACUACGAUCUGAAACUUAAAUCAACAGAAGAAGCAGAGAGAAUUGCAGCUGCUAGGACAAAAGGGUAA
This 2840-nucleotide long non-coding RNA is filed under the name Mytilus galloprovincialis (Mediterranean mussel). Lineage: Eukaryota; Metazoa; Mollusca; Bivalvia; Mytilida; Mytilidae. The record is from RNAcentral.